GAUGAACGCUAGCGGCAGGCCUAAUACAUGCAAGUCGAGGGAGAAUAUUGGAUUCGUCUGACAUGAAACCGGCGCACGGGUGCGUAACACGUAUGCAACCUACCUUUAACUGGGGUAUAGCUCAGAGAAAUCUGAAUUAAUCCCCCAUAAGACUACGACAUGGCAUCAUGAUGUAGUUAAAGCUCCCGCGGUUAAGGAUGGGCAUGCGGUACAUUAGCUAGUUGGUGAGGUAAUGGCUCACCAAGGCUACGAUGUAUAGGGGGUCUGAGAGGAUGAUCCCCCACACUGGUACUGAGACACGGACCAGACUCCUACGGGAGGCAGCAGUAGGGAAUAUUGGUCAAUGGACGCAAGUCUGAACCAGCCAUGCCGCGUGAAGGAUGAAGGCCCUAUAGGUCGUAAACUUCUUUUAUUAGGGAAGAAAAAACGGGAUGCGUCCUGUACUGACGGUACUUAAUGAAUAAGGAUCGGCUAACUUCGUGCCAGCAGCCGCAGAA
Molecule: ribosomal RNA, 497 nt
Filed under: uncultured bacterium
Lineage: Bacteria
Description: partial 16S ribosomal RNA
Rfam family: Bacterial small subunit ribosomal RNA
Source: RNAcentral